RNAcentral lists this ribosomal RNA (355 nucleotides) under Gryne marginalis. RNAcentral's name for it is "partial large subunit ribosomal RNA". Lineage: Eukaryota; Metazoa; Arthropoda; Arachnida; Opiliones; Cosmetidae. The record is from RNAcentral.
ACUCAGAUCACGUAAAUUUUUAAUAGUCGAACAGACUAAAUCAUUAUAGCUCCUUCACCAUAAAUUUAAUUUAAUUCAACAUCGAGGUCACAAACUUAAUUUUUAAUAAGAACUCAUAAAUUAAAUAAUGCUGUUAUCCCUAGAGUAAUUUCUUUACUUAAACAUAAAAUCAUAAAAAUUAUUAUCUUCAUUAAAUUACCCCAAUUAAAAAUAUAUAUAUAUAUAUUUAAAACUUCUAGGGUCUUCUCGUCCCAAGAAUUAAUAAAAGCCUUUUUACUUUUAAAUUAAAUUCAAAUUUAUUAUAAAAAACUUUCCUUUAAGUAUCUACCCUUCAUUCCAGUCUCCAAUUAAAAAA